Long non-coding RNA from Meriones unguiculatus (Mongolian gerbil), 4740 nucleotides. RefSeq lists it as uncharacterized. The record is from RefSeq and is a predicted model, not a curated record. The transcript has 2 exons. NCBI's taxonomy places the organism in Eukaryota, Metazoa, Chordata, Mammalia, Rodentia, Muridae.
CCCCUCUCCUUUCACACACAACUCCACGCCCCCUGGUUUGGGGCUGGAAGACAUCCCAAAGCCGAGUGUUUUAGAAAUCGUCUGUUGUGGUUUCUGGUUGUGAUACCAGAAUUUUCUGACGGAAAGGCAGGAGGAUUGCGAUGUCCCUAGCUGUGUAAAGUUGACAAAAACAACCCCCAAACAACCACAACCAAAACUGAACCAGCAUAACAAGAAACAGAACUUGAUGACAUUUCCAGAAACCACUGGUCUCCUGAAGGGAUGCACAUGGCAAUGCAGAGAACUAAAAAGAGAAUGGUCUCCAAGAAGAACAGAAGUCAAAGGCCUGGCCACUGUCAUUUCACUUUUUCUCUUCCCCAUCAGUGUCUGAUCCACUCUCCUCUUUGUUCACAGGCUGCCUCAGCCUCCCUGUGACCUCCGGUCUCAGUGUUGUACAAAAUGCAAUGAAUGGCUCUCUCCAUAUGAGACCCCUGAUUUUCUUGCUUCAGGGCCAUCUGCUUCCUGACUGGUACCUGGAGAUCCCACUGUCCCCCAAAGGAAAGGCAAAUUGGCAGUCAUCUAGUCAUUGACAGAUCUAGUCUCUUUGUUGUAAUUUAUAGUCUAUUUCUAAACUAUAUCUCUCCACACAGCUAAUCAUAUAGAACAAUUGUUUGUUUGUUUGUUUUGUUGUUGUUGUUUUUCAAGACAGGGGUUCUCUGUGACCAGGUUAGCCUCGAACUCAUGAAGAUCCACAUGCCUCUGCCUACUGAGUGCCAAGACUAAACACAUGUGCCACCAGGCCUGGCAUCAAAUUGGUUCUUAGCUUAAUUAUUACUGGUAAAAUUGUUUGCUUGCUAAUUUGUGUGCUUAUUUUGAGACAGGGUCUCACUAUGUAGCGUCAGCUGGCCUGGAACUGGCUAUUAUAAAUAGUUCAGACUGGCCACGAACUCAUAGAAAUCCGCCUGCCUCUGCCUCAGCAGCGCUGGGAGUAAAGUGUGCCCCACCACACCUUGUUUUCUCUUCUGAGACAGUGUUGGUUGUUGGUUGGUAGACAGCUCAGCCUCCUGAAUGCUGGGUGAUAGGCCUGGUUCACCAUGCCUAGCUAUUGGUAACACUUGCCCCUUCUCACCCCUCACCCAUGUGCUUGUGUGUGUGUGGGUAGGUUUCAGAGGCAGUGUAAACAGAGACUGAGUCUGACCUUCAGCAGAUAGGACUGUGCACCUUAGUCCUUACAGUGGGAAGGCUGGCGGGACUGCCAGGGGAAAGGCUGGCCGUGAUCCUUCACAGAGGAUCCUUUAUGAGCAGCUUGGGAAUGAGGAGGUUGUUGCAGCUGUAGGAAGCGACAUGUCUCUCCUCCCUGAAAUUGUCUGCCCAAGGCAAGAUGGAAGACAGGAUGGCUCAAGAGAUAUUCCUUUCUGUGUUGACCAAUGACCACUGAACAAGGCACCCUGUCAGUGUGAACCGCUAACCACCCAACAUGUACCUGCUUCCUGGGGGUCUGAACUCUGUUCCUCAGGCAUGUAACCACUCAGUCCAGAUGCUGACACUUUUAGCAAUCAAAAAACCAUGAGUGGAAUAGCGACCCUUUUGCAGGAAUCCAAAAGUGCUUGGAGUCUUGUAAGAUUCAUCUUGGAGGUUUGCCCUGGCAGCUGGCUUCCGUAGAUUUGGAAGAAGUAGGCACCCUCAGGCAGCACGGCUGAGGCACAGGAAGAGAAUUCCAUUUCCAUGCUUGAAAACAUAUUUUUCUUGGCAGAGAAACGAGGCUAGUUGUCUCUUUUGAGUUACUGCUUAUUCAUCCUUGGCUCUUCCGACAAAUCCUCAAAAAAGAAUACGAUUUACCAGUGUGUGGCAAUGUAUUUAAAGAAGGAUUAUCUCAACUUCUGAUAAUGACUGUCAUCGGAAGAAAUGCUUUUAAGACUGAUCUCUGCCAGUUAGUCUUGAAAUAACUGUGCGUUUUAAUGUCAACACAGCUGAGAGCUCAUGGCCAUCACUCUGACUAAUUAGACCUUCGCUAUCCCUGCUGCCAGAUGGCAGCCCUGAGGUGAUUAGUGGAAUGACUCAGCAGGACUAGCUCGGGCAACCUUAGCUGAGUUUAUGGUUCUGCUAGUAGAGGCCACUGUAACUAUGGCCUGGCUCAUUGUUUCCUGUAAGUAGCAAGUAGACAAGCGACUUUCUACCUGACUGCAUCUGUCCACUGACUAAAAUUUUGGCUUAGUUAGAAGUUAGAUAGAUGCACAUAACAAAGGAAAGUUCCACUAGCAAAUGAGCCAUUGUGAGAUUAACCAAUUACUGUGUUAGUGAUGAAGCAAUUGAGUAGAGCAGACCUGUGCUGUUACGAAUUCUUCCUAUGAAGUCACACAUCAGGUUUCUGAAAAGCCCUAGGCCAGAGAGGUGGCUCAAUGAUUAAGACUGCUUAGUGCCCUUGCAGAGGGCCCAGGAUAUGUGUGUAUAUACACACACACACACACACAUAUCCAUUAUUUAUGUGUGUUUAUCCACACACACACAUAUAUAUCCAUUAAAAAAAUUAUGUGGGGCUGGAGAGAUGGCUCCGAGGUUAAGAGCACUGGCUGCUCUUCCAGAGGGCCUGAGCUCACCAUGUAGCCCACAUGGUGGCCUACAACCAUCUAUAAUGAGAUAUGAUGCCUUCUUCCGCCCUGGAGGCGUACAUACAGGCAGAAUACUGUAUACAUAAUAAAUCUUUAAAAAAAUUUAUGUGCCCCAGUAGUAAUUCUAUUUAAGCCUCUAUUUUCUUAUACUGCAGUAAAUUGAAAGUCUUUCCAGUGUACAGAUGGCUCUUAGAUCAUGAGAAAUAACAAAACGUCCAUUUUUGGUUUUGUCUGUUUGUUUAUUUCUUGUUUUGUUUUGUGGUUUUGGAUUUUUUGUAUGUUUUGAGACACAGUCUCACUGUGUAGCUCUAGCUGGACUGAAACUCACUACAUAGACCAGGGUGGCCUUGAACUCGUAGUGCUCCACCUACCUUUGUCUCCCAGUGCUGGGAUUGAAUGUGUGCACUACCAUAGCAUGCCUGGCAAUGCCCUCUAUUUUUAAGAGAAAAAAAAGUGACUCAAGAGCAGCCACCUUGAAACCUGACAAUGCCAUCAGAUGACAUGGGGUGAUGUCCUCAGCCUCCCAAUAAGGGUGCAUUGAGUGGGCAUCUGGCCAGGCUGGCACUGACCGAAGCACUGUAGCAGUAACAGCAAGCCCGAGCUACCAGGCUUUUACAAAGAAGGCUGCUGCUCAAAGGGGCAAGAACAUGGUUCAUCUAUGUCUCUGUCUACGCACUCUCCUGAAGUAGGUGUGCUGCGUAACAAAUAGCAUUGAUUGUUCCUGGAGGUGGGUUUUAAGAGAAUAAGCAUAGCAGGAGAGGGGAUCCUCCUCUAUAGAUCCUUUCAGAAUUAAAACAAUUAAGAUGCAAAUAUGUGCUGCCUACAUAGUUAAUCUCAUCUUCCUUUUGUCGUCCUUGUCUAUCUUUUUAAUAUUAAAAAAUUAAUUUAUGUAUAUAUGCAUCUAUAUGAAUACAGGUGCACUGGGAGGCCAGAAGAGGGUGUUAAAUCCCCUGGAAAUGGAGUUUCAUGCAGUUCUGAGCAUUCAACAUGGGUAUUGGGAGCCAAACUCAGGUCUUCUGGAAGAGUAGCUAGUGCUCUUAACUGAGGAGCCAUUUCUUCAGUCCCUUCCUUCCUUCUUCCCUUCCCCUCCCUUCCCCUCCCUUCUCCUCCCUUCUCCCUUUCCCCUCCCUCCCCUCCUCUCCGGUACCCUUCCUUCCUUCCUCCUUCCUUUCUCUUUCCUUCCUUCUCUUCCCUUCCUUUUUCUUCCUUCCUAAACAGAGGAUCAUAGCCAAAGCCAGCCUGAAACAUUAAAUCCUCCUUCCUCAGGAUCUUUUUUUUUUAAUACUGCACUUUCUUUCUUUUUUUUUUUAACAACUAUCUAUUUAUUUAUUUAUUAUACAAAAUUUUGCCUGUGUGUGCGCCUGCACAUUGGAAAAGGGCAUCAGAUCUCACUAUAGAUGGUUACAAGCCACCAUGUGAUUGCUGGGAAUUGAACACAGGACCUUUGGAAGAACAGCCAGUUAACCUCUGAGCCAUCUCUCUAGCCCCCUUCCUCAGGCUCUUAAUGCUGAAAUUACAGGGCUGCACCACACCACUCGGCUUUUCCGAUUUAGCUGUUUUGAGGUUUUUGGGGUUUUUUUUUUCUUUUUUUUUUUCUUUUGUUGUGGGGACUGCACUUCUUUUCAUCCUUGCAUUUAUGCCACAAGGAAAACAUUGCUAGCAUUCCCUGUGCAGCAGGUUCUUCACUCAACCAGGAGAACCACCUCACCCCUGCCCCCAGAGAAGGUGGGACAACACGAAACAAGAACACAGAGACUGAUUGCAGGAACUCAUUCAAGCCUGGCCUUGUUGCUCACUGGAAUUUUCUAGCUAGCUCUGGAAGCUUUGUCAGUCACUCUUUGCCUUCCUUUCAUUUUCCUCUGCCAGGGUUUUCCGUCUUAUCUCCCUUCCCUGACUAAUAGCCCAGUCCCAGCUUCUAGAAACUUACAACACAGAACCAUUUGACUUUCUGUCCUGCCGCCAUUCACUGGCAUUUGGCUUCAGAAAGCUAGUGACAUAUUAGUGUGAUGUUUCCUGGGCUGGUGAGAUGGCUCAGUGGGCAAAGGUACCAGAUGCUGAGCCUGAAACCUGAGUUCAAUCCCUGGGACUCUUAUGGUGGAUGGAAAGACUCAUGAAACAAUAAAAAAAUAAAAUAAAAUUUUUAAAUAGCACA